This 76-nucleotide transfer RNA is filed under the name Hahella sp. CCB-MM4. Its description in RNAcentral is "tRNA-Cys". It matches the Rfam family "tRNA". Rfam says of the family: Transfer RNA (tRNA) molecules are approximately 80 nucleotides in length. Their secondary structure includes four short double-helical elements and three loops (D, anti-codon, and T loops). Lineage: Bacteria; Pseudomonadati; Pseudomonadota; Gammaproteobacteria; Oceanospirillales; Hahellaceae. The record is from RNAcentral.
GAGGGUUUGGCCGAAAGGUGAAGGCGCAAGACUGCAACUCUUGUUUCUGUCAGUUCGAAUCUGGCAACCCUCUCCA